Molecule: ribosomal RNA, 439 nt
Filed under: uncultured bacterium
Lineage: Bacteria
Description: partial 16S ribosomal RNA
Rfam family: Bacterial small subunit ribosomal RNA
Source: RNAcentral
CUACGGGGCGCAGCAGUGGGGAAUCUUAGACAAUGGGGGAAACCCUGAUCUAGCCAUGCCGCGUGAGCGACGACGGCCCUAGGGUUGUAAAGCUCUUUCAGCAGGGAAGAUAAUGACGGUACCUGCGGAAGAAGUCCCGGCUAACUCCGUGCCAGCAGCCGCGGGAAUACGGAGGGGACUAGCGUUGUUCGGAAUUACUGGGCGUAAAGCGCGCGGAGGCGGAUUGUUAAGUCGGGGGUGAAAUCCCGGGGCUCAACCCCGGAACUGCCCUCGAUACUGGCAGUCUUGAGUUCGAGAGAGGUGAGUGGAAUUCCGAGUGUAGAGGUGAAAUUCGUAGAUAUUCGGAGGAACACCAGUGGCGAAGGCGGCUCACUGGCUCGAUACUGACGCUGAGGUGCGAAAGCGUGGGGAGCAAACAGGAUUAGAUACCCUAGUAGUC